UAAGCCCUGGUCCUGUUUCCUGGACAAACCUUGGAUCUACACUGUGGAUGCUGGCCCUGAUCAAUGGGCUGUGGAUAUUUGCCUUGCCUGGGACCAGUGAUGGAUCUUGUUACCAGCACCUGUUCCUGCCUGCUGUGCUCCAGCCCUGUUGAUGUGGACAAGGAUGUGAAAAGGAAUUGCUGGGCGAGUACCCUGCAAGCAGUACUUGCCUGGUAUCCGUUUUCUGGAGAAUGGUCUGUGGGACACUGCAGGGUUAACCUCUUUUAAUGGCUAUGUGAAGCUGAGGCAGAUUCUGGUAUCACUCAUGAGGAUUAAAAUCUACGAGGUUUAUCUUUCAGUGCAGAUUCAGAGUCCUUGGUGGAAUAACUGGUGUCAAAUUGGAGGAUGAGACUCAAAAUGAUCUUGGGAGCAAUUUUUUGAGAGAGAAAAGAUGGACUUUUGGGGGAGCAGCUGCUGUGUGGGGCCAUCUCCACACUGAGGUCUCAUCAACUGUCUCUUCUCUGCUGAUUGUGGGAUAACAUUAGAAUGAAUAAUACUAAAACUUGCCAUAUUGGAAAGUCUCCCUGGUGAAAGGCGCUGUGACAACCCUUGUGGAGCUGUCAACGUGAGAAGAGACUCAUUGCUGCUGAUGCUGACUGGAAACCGUCUGCUGCUCAGCAGUGCAUCACUGCCUCCUCCGGUAGCGCGUUUCAGUUUCCAAACUACAUCUGUCAAACAUCCUUGGCAUUU
Molecule: long non-coding RNA, 729 nt
Organism: Nothoprocta perdicaria
Lineage: Eukaryota; Metazoa; Chordata; Aves; Tinamiformes; Tinamidae
Exons: 3
Source: RefSeq, a predicted model, not a curated record